Phyllostomus discolor (pale spear-nosed bat) is the source of this 540-nucleotide long non-coding RNA. RefSeq lists it as uncharacterized. The transcript has 2 exons. NCBI's taxonomy places the organism in Eukaryota, Metazoa, Chordata, Mammalia, Chiroptera, Phyllostomidae. The record is from RefSeq and is a predicted model, not a curated record.
AAAGCGAACGCAGCCGUUCCUGUGGAAGGAUUCAUAGGACAGGGAACAGCGGCUCUCUAAAGGAGAGCUUACCAGCUGAGCGAAACCACAGCUGCCAGCAGCUCCCCAGGCAGCCAAAGGCUGUAUCAGCACCCUCUCUCCCAGCCUGCCCCUUGACAGGAGUCGUGGAUGUAACGGUAUAAUUGAGUGCCUGCAUGUAGCAGGUGGCACUGGUGCCAGACCCUGCCAGCCUGCCCCACCCCCAGCAUCUCUGAUUUAAUAACAGCCGAGCUAUUUAUUUCUCCAGCAUUUGUUCUCCCAAGUCUGAAGCCCUGACUGCAAGUGGCAGUGGUGCAGAACUUAGCCGCCUCAGGGCUUCCCCUGGCUCUGGGAUGAAGCUGAGCUGCCAGGGUUCAGGAAAUCCAGAGAUUGAAGCAACCUUGAAGGAUUAUGGGUCUAUCCCUGUAUCCAGGCAAAACUGUAUUAACCACCCAGACAGACAGGAAACCACUGCUUGUCAAAGCUGUCUUCAAGUCAAAAUUAAAAUCUCUUUAUAGAAAA